AUACGUAGGGGGCGAGCGUUGUCCGGAAUGACUGGGCGUAAAGGGCAUGUAGGCGGCCGAUUAAGUCUGGAGUGAAAGUCCUGCUUUCAAGGUGGGAAUUGCUUUGGAGACUGGUUGGCUUGAGUGCGGAAGAGGUAAGUGGAAUUCCCAGUGUAGCGGUGAAAUGCGUAGAGAUUGGGAGGAACACCAGUGGCGAAGGCGACUUACUGGGCCGUAACUGACGCUGAGGCGCGAAAGCGUGGGGAGCGAACAGGAUUAGAUACCCUGGUAGUCCACGCGGUAAACGAUGAAUGCUAGGUGUAGGGGGUAUCGACCCCUCCUGUGCCGGAGUGAACACAAUAAGCAUUCCGCCUGGGGAGUACGGCCGCAAGGUUGAAACUCAAAGGAAUCGACGGGG
Molecule: ribosomal RNA, 397 nt
Filed under: uncultured bacterium
Lineage: Bacteria
Description: partial 16S ribosomal RNA
Rfam family: Bacterial small subunit ribosomal RNA
Source: RNAcentral